GAUGAACGCUGGCGGCGUGCCUAAUACAUGCAAGUCGAGCGAACAGACGAGGAGCUUGCUCCUCUGACGUUAGCGGCGGACGGGUGAGUAACACGUGGAUAACCUACCUAUAAGACUGGGAUAACUUCGGGAAACCGGAGCUAAUACCGGAUAAUAUAUUGAACCGCAUGGUUCAAUAGUGAAAGACGGUUUUGCUGUCACUUAUAGAUGGAUCCGCGCCGCAUUAGCUAGUUGGUAAGGUAACGGCUUACCAAGGCGACGAUGCGUAGCCGACCUGAGAGGGGGAUCGGCCACACUGGAACUGAGACACGGUCCAGACGCCUACGGGAGGCAGCAGUAGGGAAUCUGCCGCAAUGGGCGAAAGCCUGACGGAGCAACGCCGCGUGAGUGAUGAAGGUCUUCGGAUCGUAAAACUCUGUUAUUAGGGAAGAACAAAUGUGUAAGUAACUAUGCACGGCUUGACGGUACCUAAUCAGAAAGCCACGGCUAACUACGUG
Molecule: ribosomal RNA, 497 nt
Filed under: uncultured bacterium
Lineage: Bacteria
Description: partial 16S ribosomal RNA
Rfam family: Bacterial small subunit ribosomal RNA
Source: RNAcentral